RNAcentral lists this small nuclear RNA (312 nucleotides) under Heterocephalus glaber (naked mole-rat). Its description in RNAcentral is "7SK RNA". It matches the Rfam family "7SK RNA". Rfam says of the family: 7SK was discovered as an abundant small nuclear RNA in the mid-70s but a possible function has only recently been suggested. Lineage: Eukaryota; Metazoa; Chordata; Mammalia; Rodentia; Bathyergidae. The record is from Rfam by way of RNAcentral.
GGGUAUAAGGGGGAUCGGGCUGUGACAUCAGUCACCCCUUGGAUCACCAGGUGACUCAGCUGAUCUGGGGGGUGAGGCAGGUGUCUCCUUCCUCCCUCGCCACUCCACGAGUGUCCUUCCCAAAGCGACCUGCUCAGCUGAGGAGGACGACCUUCUCCCAAAGGGAAAGAUGUUUCCUAGGUCAAGGAUGGAUGAACAGCUGCCCUCCCUUGCUAGAACCUCCAAAUAAGCUCGCAAAUCCUAAUAGGAAAUAGAAUUGGCAGCGGGGCCACUCCAAAUUGCACAUUAAUGACUCAGGAGCAGGCAGUCCAU